Molecule: ribosomal RNA, 393 nt
Filed under: uncultured bacterium
Lineage: Bacteria
Description: bacterial SSU rRNA
Rfam family: Bacterial small subunit ribosomal RNA
Source: RNAcentral
GUGUCAGCAGCCGCGGUAAUACGUAGGUGGCAAGCGUUAUCCGGAAUUAUUGGGCGUAAAGCGCGCGCAGGCGGUCUCUUAAGUCUGAUGUGAAAGCCCACGGCUCAACCGUGGAGGGUCAUUGGAAACUGGGAGACUUGAGUGCAGGAGAGAAAAGUGGAAUUCCACGUGUAGCGGUGAAAUGCGUAGAGAUGUGGAGGAACACCAGUGGCGAAGGCGGCUUUUUGGCCUGUAACUGACGCUGAGGCGCGAAAGCGUGGGGAGCAAACAGGAUUAGAUACCCUGGUAGUCCACGCCGUAAACGAUGAGUGCUAGGUGUUGGGGGGUUCCACCCUCAGUGCUGACGCUAACGCAUUAAGCACUCCGCCUGGGGAGUACGGCCGCAAGGCUGAA